GAUGAACGCUGGCGGCGUGCCUAAUACAUGCAAGUCGAGCGAACGGACGAGAAGCUUGCUUCUCUGAUGUUAGCGGCGGACGGGUGAGUAACACGUGGAUAACCUACCUAUAAGACUGGGAUAACUUCGGGAAACCGGAGCUAAUACCGGAUAAUAUUUUGAACCGCAUGGUUCAAAAGUGAAAGACGGUCUUGCUGUCACUUAUAGAUGGAUCCGCGCUGCAUUAGCUAGUUGGUAAGGUAACGGCUUACCAAGGCGACGAUGCAUAGCCGACCUGAGAGGGUGAUCGGCCACACUGGAACUGAGACACGGUCCAGACUCCUACGGGAGGCAGCAGUAGGGAAUCUUCCGCAAUGGGCGAAAGCCUGACGGAGCAACGCCGCGUGAGUGAUGAAGGUCUUCGGAUCGUAAAGCUCUGUUAUUAGGGAAGAACAGAUGUGUAAGUAACUGUGGACAUCUUGACGGUACCUAAUCAGAAAGCCACGGCUAACUACGUG
This 497-nucleotide ribosomal RNA is filed under the name uncultured bacterium. Its description in RNAcentral is "partial 16S ribosomal RNA". It matches the Rfam family "Bacterial small subunit ribosomal RNA", at positions 28 to 507 of the family's 1533-position model. The record is from RNAcentral.